This 967-nucleotide ribosomal RNA is filed under the name Cordulegaster maculata. RNAcentral's name for it is "partial 16S ribosomal RNA". The stretch from base 369 to 967 matches the Rfam family "Archaeal large subunit ribosomal RNA", at positions 1423 to 2669 of the family's 2987-position model. The record is from RNAcentral. Lineage: Eukaryota; Metazoa; Arthropoda; Insecta; Odonata; Cordulegastridae.
UUCAGAAGAGCUAAUUUANUAAUUUAUNUANUGGUUUAGAAUUAUUAAUAAUAUAAAUUAGGGAGGAAAUCUUAUUCGUUUUUAAUGGUAUCUAGUUUUUUAAGAAUUAAAUUUAAUUUAUUUUCUUUAUGUAAAUUUUAACUUUUUAUUAUAAUUUAUUUAUUGAAUUAAAAAUUAUAGGGGAUAAGCUCUAUGAUAAACUAAAAAAUUUUUUAUUAAUCAACUUAUGUAGGGUUAAAAUUAUCUAUCAUUAUUAAGUGUGUUAUAAUAUAUAUUGAUUAUUAGAUGAUUUAUUUAUUUUUAGGAUUUUAUUAAAAUAUUUAAAUUAAUUUUGAAUUUAAUGAAAUAAUGAUUAAAUUAGUAUAAUUAUUUUGUUUAACAUAAAUUUUUAUUUAUAAUAAAAUAAGGAAUUCGGCAAAUAUUGCACUCGCCUGUUUAACAAAAACAUGUCCUUUUGAAAAUUUAUAGAAGGUCUGACCUGCCCAGUGAAAAUAUUUUAACGGCCGCGGUAUAUUGACCGUGCAAAGGUAGCAUAAUCAUUAGUCUUUUAAUAGAGGGCUGGAAUGAAGGGUUUAACGAAGUACUUACUGUCUCAUUUAAUUUGAUAUUAAAAUUUACUUUUUCAGUCAAAAAGCUGAAAUAUUAUUGGAAGACGAGAAGACCCUAUAGAGCUUUAUAUUUAAUUAUUUAAUAAAUUUUUGAUAAUAUUAUUAUUUAUUAUUUAAUAAAAUAUUUUGUUGGGGUGACAAAAAUAUAUAAUUAACUUUUUUAUUUAUAUAACAUUGAUAUAUGAAAAAUAGAUCCAGUUUUACUGAUUAUUAGAACAAGUUACCUUAGGGAUAACAGCGUAAUCUUCCUUUAGAGUUCAUAUUCACAGGGAGGCUUGCGACCUCGAUGUUGGAUUAAGAUUAUAAUUAGGUGUAGCCGCUUAAAAAAUAGGUCCUGUUCGACCUUUAAAUUCUUUACA